Molecule: ribosomal RNA, 498 nt
Filed under: uncultured bacterium
Lineage: Bacteria
Description: bacterial SSU rRNA
Rfam family: Bacterial small subunit ribosomal RNA
Source: RNAcentral
ACUCAAAUGAAUUGACGGGGGCCCGCACAAGCAGCGGAGCAUGUGGUUUAAUUCGAAGCAACGCGAAGAACCUUACCAGGUCUUGACAUCCAGUAAAGGCCGUAGAGAUACGGAAUCCCUUCGGGGGUACUGAGACAGGUGGUGCAUGGUUGUCGUCAGCUCGUGUCGUGAGAUGUUGGGUUAAGUCCCGCAACGAGCGCAACCCUUGUCGAUAGUUACUAACAAGUGAAGUUGAGGACUUUAUCGAGACCGCCGGGGACAACUCGGAGGAAGGUGGGGACGACGUCAAAUCAUCAUGCCCCUUAUGACCUGGGCUACACACGUGCUACAAUGGGCGCUACAGAGGGCAGCGAAGCCGCAAGGCGGAGCGAAUCUCAAAAAAGCGUUCUCAGUUCAGAUUGUGGGCUGCAACCCGCCCACAUGAAGGAGGAGUUGCUAGUAAUCGCGAAUCAUCAUGUCGCGGUGAAUACGUUCCCGGGCCUUGUACACACCGCCCGU